CCUACGGGAGGCAGCAGUGGGGAAUAUUGCACAAUGGGGGAAACCCUGAUGCAGCGACGCCGCGUGAGUGAAGAAGUAUUUCGGUAUGUAAAGCUCUAUCAGCAGGGAAGAAGAAAGACGGUACCUGACUAAGAAGCCCCGGCUAACUACGUGCCAGCAGCCGCGGUAAUACGUAGGGGGCAAGCGUUAUCCGGAUUUACUGGGUGUAAAGGGAGCGUAGACGGCUGUGCAAGUCUGAAGUGAAAGCCCAGGGCUCAACCCUGGGACUGCUUUGGAAACUGUGGAGCUAGAGGGCGGGAGAGGUAAGUGGAAUUCCUAGUGUAGCGGUGAAAUGCGUAGAUAUUAGGAGGAACACCAGUGGCGAAGGCGGCUUACUGGACAGUAACUGACGUUGAGGCUCGAAAGCGUGGGGAGCAAACAGGAUUAGAUACCCUGGUAGUC
This 441-nucleotide ribosomal RNA is filed under the name uncultured bacterium. Its description in RNAcentral is "partial 16S ribosomal RNA". It matches the Rfam family "Bacterial small subunit ribosomal RNA", at positions 338 to 795 of the family's 1533-position model. The record is from RNAcentral.